This 468-nucleotide ribosomal RNA is filed under the name uncultured bacterium. RNAcentral's name for it is "partial 16S ribosomal RNA". It matches the Rfam family "Bacterial small subunit ribosomal RNA", at positions 28 to 507 of the family's 1533-position model. The record is from RNAcentral.
GACGAACGCUGGCGGCGUGCUUAACACAUGCAAGUCGAACGGAAAGGCCCUGCUUUUGUGGGGUGCUCGAGUGGCGAACGGGUGAGUAACACGUGAGUAACCUGCCCUUGACUUUGGGAUAACUUCAGGAAACUGGGGCUAAUACCGGAUAGGAGCUCCUGCUGCAUGGUGGGGGUUGGAAAGUUUCGGCGGUUGGGGAUGGACUCGCGGCUUAUCAGCUUGUUGGUGGGGUAGUGGCUUACCAAGGCUUUGACGGGUAGCCGGCCUGAGAGGGUGACCGGCGACAUUGGGACUGAGAUACGGCCCAGAAUCCUACGGGAGGCAGCAGUGGGGAAUAUUGCACAAUGGGCGGAAGCCUGAGGCAGCAACGCCGCGUGCGGGAUGACGGCCUUCGGGUUGUAAACAGCUUUCGCCUGUGACGAAGCGUGAGUGACGGUAAUGGGUAAAGAAGCACCGGCUAACUACGUG